This 777-nucleotide long non-coding RNA is filed under the name Phoenix dactylifera (date palm). Its description in RNAcentral is "long non-coding RNA (PDAC_LNC016739)". Lineage: Eukaryota; Viridiplantae; Streptophyta; Magnoliopsida; Arecales; Arecaceae. The record is from RNAcentral.
UGCUCCUUCUUCUCCGUCUUCUCCUUCUUCUCCUCCUCCUCCUUCUUCUUCUCCUCUCCUCCUCCUCCUCCUUAUUCUUCUUCUUCUCCUUCUCUUCCUCCUCCUUCUUCUCCUUCUCCUUCUUCUUCUUCUUCAUUUUUUCCUUCUUAUAAUAUAUGCUAUAUGCUUAUACUCCUGACUCCUGGGGCCUUCUGUAAUUGUCUGCUAUAUGCUUAUACUCCUGACUCUUGAGCCUGUUAUAACCCAUAAGACCCACAACAACAAGGGUCAAGUUUUUAUUAUGUUCAUGUUUAUUUAAAGUCAUCUAACAUAUCUUAGUACAUAGUCUGAUACCAGCCUUCCCAUGUUUCGGUUGUUAGGAGUAUUCAAGGUGCACCGUACCGAUGUAUCGGUGGGCGUACCGGUUCGGACUGGUACCAAAUUGGUACCACGGGUUCAGCUUGAUUCAUGCAUCCAAAAGCCCCAAAAAAAUUUGGAACCGGUACGGGCCGGUAUCGGUUUUUAACACCGAACCGGACCGGUCAGAGCCGGUACCGGUUCGGUAUGGGCCGAUUCAGCGUUCUAUGGGAGUAUUGCUUAGGGAGUUACAUCGAUGGAGCUGUUUUACUUAUAUUUUAGCUUUGGCCCCUUUUCUUGGUUGAAUCAUUCACUGAUUCCCUUAUCUUUUUUUUCUUUCCUUAUGUUUUUGUUGAGUAUCAUUGCAUGCUAUGAAGGUUGACUAUGUUAAGACUCAGUUGACCACUGGAACUUGGAUUCUGAUGAAAUGCUGAAUCUUGU